RNAcentral lists this transfer RNA (71 nucleotides) under Stegodyphus mimosarum. It matches the Rfam family "tRNA". From Rfam's summary of the family: Transfer RNA (tRNA) molecules are approximately 80 nucleotides in length. Their secondary structure includes four short double-helical elements and three loops (D, anti-codon, and T loops). Further hydrogen bonds mediate the characteristic L-shaped molecular structure. tRNAs have two regions of fundamental functional importance: the anti-codon, which is responsible for specific mRNA codon recognition, and the 3' end, to which the tRNAs corresponding amino acid is attached (by aminoacyl-tRNA synthetases). tRNAs cope with the degeneracy of the genetic code in two manners: having more than one tRNA (with a specific anti-codon) for a particular amino acid; and 'wobble' base-pairing, i.e. permitting non-standard base-pairing at the 3rd anti-codon position. Lineage: Eukaryota; Metazoa; Arthropoda; Arachnida; Araneae; Eresidae. The record is from Rfam by way of RNAcentral.
GUCUUCGUGGUGUAACGAUAGCACACGCUGCGCAUAUUCGAGAGGUUCGGGUUCGAGUCCCGGCGAGGGCA